Molecule: ribosomal RNA, 501 nt
Filed under: uncultured Glomeromycotina
Lineage: Eukaryota; Fungi; Glomeromycota
Description: partial small subunit ribosomal RNA
Rfam family: Eukaryotic small subunit ribosomal RNA
Source: RNAcentral
CCAAUAGCGUAUAUUAAAGUUGUUGCAGUUAAAAAGCUCGUAGUUGAAUUUCGGGGUUAGUAGAUUGGUCAUGCCACUGGUAUGUACUGGUCUCACUGAUUCCUCCUUCCUGAUGAGCCGUAAUGCCAUUAAUUUGGUGUUGCGAGGAAUCUGGACUGUUACUUUGAAAAAAUUAGAGUGUUUAAAGCGGGCAUUUUUGCUUGAAUACGUUAGCAUGGAAUAAUAAAAUAGGACGAUGGUUCUAUUUUGUUGGUUUCUAGGAUCACCGUAAUGAUUAAUAGGGAUAGUUGGGGGCAUUAGUAUUCAAUUGUCAGAGGUGAAAUUCUUGGAUUUAUUGAAGACUAACUACUGCGAAAGCAUUUGCCAAGGAUGUUUUCAUUAAUCAAGAACGAAAGUUAGGGGAUCGAAGACGAUCAGAUACCGUCGUAGUCUUAACCAUAAACUAUGCCGACUAGGGAUCGGAUGAUGUUAAUUUUUUAAUGACUCAUUCGGCGCCUUACG